Molecule: ribosomal RNA, 2236 nt
Filed under: Creneis carolina
Lineage: Eukaryota; Heterolobosea; Eutetramitea; Creneida; Creneidae
Description: partial small subunit ribosomal RNA
Rfam family: Eukaryotic small subunit ribosomal RNA
Source: RNAcentral
AAAAUAUAUGCUUCACUUAUAGAUUAAGCCAUGCAAUUGAGACCAAACAGGGUUACGUACUUCGUGGAUUCUGACUUUGGUCCAUUAACAGCUGCAUAAAAGUAAAUUAACUUAAUCAUAUGUAUUAUUUUGUGGAUAAGAGCUAGUAAAUCCCACUAUAAUCCAUAAAAUUGUUUCCUUUUUAAGGAAGUAAUUACCAGCCAAUCCCUUGGAAAAGAUUGGUUAUAAUUUAAUUAAUUUUUAUUAAGUACUUGUAUUUUUUAAAAAUUAUAUUAAACGGUUAGUUUUCAUUAGAAAACGCGUAUGAUAAGGGUUUGCUUUUUUUAGUUUGAUAGAGGGUUAAUUGCCCCCUAUGGCUAUAAUGAAUACAGAGGAUUAUGCGUUUUAAACUGCAGAAGUCGCUUGAAAAACGGCGAUUAGAAUUAAGGUUUGCAGCAGGCGCGAAACUUUCCCAAUAAUCACUGAUUGAGGAAGUAAUAAUUGUGAAUGACAUUUCAACAAAGAAAUGGUGGACCUCUACAAAACAAUUUUGUUUUGUUGAGAUUUGAGAUAUAGCUUUAGGUCUAUCGUAUCACGGGCUUUAAAAAUUUUAAACAAAGCCUGGGCGAGUUUUAAGGAUCUUUCCUAUGUCUCAUUAUUCCUUAUUUUGUGGGUUAUUUGGAGUUAUUCUUCACGGAAUGAUUCUGGGUAAUUAAUGAUAGAGUUAAUAACUGAUCGAAUUAAAGUGAGGGCAAGUCUGGUGCCAGCAGCCGCGGUAAUACCAGCUCACUAAGUAUUUUUUAUCAUUGUUGUGGUUAAAAUGUUUCUAGCUAUGGUUAAAUUAGUUCUUUUAAUUGGUUGGAUCAAGUUGGUUUCACAUGGUUGUCAUUUUCAUGUAAUCACACCAUCCUUUUAUUUGAAUAUAUUAAUUGAGUGGUAAUCAAAUCUAAACGCUAACAGUAAUUUCUGGAUUUAUUAAUGCAUAUUUAAUCAAAAAGAUCUUCAAAUUUAAAAAGCUUUUUGAUUAGGUAAUAAAUGUCCUAAUAAGUCAGUCUUGAUAAAUGUUAUAUUACCACAUUCGAUAUUUAUUGGAAUUUUUUUCUAUUUGAGGAGGAUUGAAAUUUCAAUAUAGAUGGAAAACAAGUUGAUUUCAAUGGUAUGAUUAUAGUAAUAGUGAAAUGUUUCGAUUAUAAUUGGACGGACGGAAGCGAAAGCGAUUGAAAAUAACUUUUUCGUCGGCCAAGAACGUGUGCUAGGGGAUCAAAAUCGAUUAGAGACCGAUGUAGUCCUAGCUGUAAAUGGUGCCUUCCAAAGGAUAUUUUUAAAAGGAUGUUUGUCCAUAGUUAAUACAGAUCUUCAUUGAAGGCUGUAUUAGUUUGCAUAUUUUUUAUUUUUUAAGAUUUAUGCAAAGACAAACGAAAAACUUUUUUUAUCUAUUCUUUUUUGCUUAGCAAAAGAGGAUAUGAAACCUUUAUACCAUAUCGGUUAAUAGUAUUCUUUAUAGGAUGCUUUUAAGAAGGUUCUAGGGGGAGUACGUGCGCAAGCAUGAAACUUAAAGGAAUUGACGGAAAGACAUUACAAGAAGUGGAGUCUGCGGCUUAAUUUGACUCAACGCUGGAAAAUUUACCAGGUCAAAACUUCUAAACUGAUUGUCAGAUGGAAUUUAGUUCUUACAUGAUUUGGAAGGGAUAGAGUGGUGCAUGGCCAUUUUCAGUUCGUAUAGUGAUAAGUCUCGUUAAUUCAGUAAAACGAGCGCGAUCUUAGUUGCAUAGAAAGAUUUUUUGUGGGGAUUGGUUUUUUUUUCAUUUGAAAUUAAAAUUCAGUUCUUCUUAAAAUUUUUCCAUUACUCCUCAGGAGUAAGGAAUUGCAAGACAGUCGGUGUAAGGUAAAAACCUGUAAUCGAAAGGAAGGGUAAGGCGAGAAUAGGUCAGUGAUGCCCUUAGAUGAUCUGGGCUGCACGCGUACUACAAUUUUACUAAGAAAACAUAUAAAACUCUCGUUGAAAGACUGAGAGCAAUUAAAUAGUUUAUUUGGAUCGAAGUAUUGUAAGUGUCUUCGUGAAAUAGGAAUUUCAUGUAAAUGUGAGUCAUCAUCUCACAUUGAAAGCGUUCCUGUUUUUUGUACACACCGCCCGUCGCUUGAAUCGGCGUUAAAAUCAUUUUAGCAAGAUUUUUAAGGAAGUUGUUUCGGCAAUAUUCCUGAUAAAAUUGAGUGAUAGUGAUUUAACCAAGAAUCAAGAAGUCGUAACAAGGCAUUU